RNAcentral lists this ribosomal RNA (301 nucleotides) under uncultured bacterium. RNAcentral describes it as "partial 16S ribosomal RNA". It matches the Rfam family "Bacterial small subunit ribosomal RNA", at positions 509 to 807 of the family's 1533-position model. The record is from RNAcentral.
CAGCCGCCGCGGGAACACGUAGGUGGCGAGCGUUGUCCGGAUUUAUUGGGCGUAAAGGGAGUGUAGGCGGUCUUUUAAGUCUGAUGUGAAAGCCCACGGCUCAACCGUGGAGGGUCAUUGGAAACUGGGAGACUUGAGUGCAGAAGAGGAGAGCGGAAUUCCAUGUGUAGCGGUGAAAUGCUUAGAUAUAUGGAGGAACACCAGUGGCGAAGGCGGCUUUCUGGUCUGUAACUGACGCUGAGGCUCGAAAGCGUGGGGAGCAAACAGGAUUAGAUACCCCUGUAGUCCCUGUCUCUUAUAC